Bacillus rossius redtenbacheri is the source of this 2825-nucleotide long non-coding RNA. RefSeq lists it as uncharacterized. Lineage: Eukaryota; Metazoa; Arthropoda; Insecta; Phasmatodea; Bacillidae. The transcript is spliced from 2 exons. The record is from RefSeq and is a predicted model, not a curated record.
AUUAUGCCAUUAGAAUCAAAGGUAUAUCUGGAUACACCUGGAUAAGCAAUACAGAACUUUUACCAAAGUUUGUUAUUUUUUGGUGUAGGGGCUUCUUGUAAACAAUCUUAUGAAUUUAUCAACAAAAUCUUUCAACUAUAUCUUCUUUCAUCAUUUAUUUAAUAAUACUUGUGUGGGUUUUCAUCGGUGUGUGUUGUUUUCAAUCAUAUUAUUUGCGGGGUAGGAAUGUUGGCUCUGUUUGCAAGAUAGGGAAGGGUAAAUAGAAUAACCUUUAUUUUCACAAUCACUUAUCAUUGUGGGAAAUUCAUAUAUAAAUGGACUCAUUUCGAAUACUUUUCAAUUCCGGGAUGGAUGUACUUUUAACGAAUACAUGUGCAUAAUCUAACUACCACUAUAGUUUUGUUCCAUCAAAACAUGACACACAAUUGCAAUAUUUGGUGUCAAAAACGAAUUACGUAAUAUGGAAACUGUUACCGGUAUUGUAUUUAUCACAAUAUACGUAAAAUAAGCCACAAAUUUAUACACAGCAAAAAUUUCAAUGUUUUUAACACUAAGUAGGUACCAUAUUAAGUACUUAAUGGAAAAUGGUAAAUAUAACUUUCAAUAUAAUAUUUAAAUACCUGCCAUUGCAAAUCACACAAACAAAUGUAAUAAUACUUAAAACAUUAAAUAUUAGUUAAAUUGUUACAAAAGUUUUCUCGCCACGCACACACGAAUUUUGAAGGUUGAAAGCAUCACAUGGCGUAUUUUUAUCUGAAUAAUCACAUAACAUAAUGAGGCGAAUAAGUUAUUUCUGGUUUUAAAUGAAGUAAUCUAAUAUAAGUAUAUAAACACACGCAUUAUUAAACGAGAUAUGUAGCUAACCUAAACUAACCAAACAAACAAACGAUUUAAAUAUUUUUCAGAACCAUAACAGAGACUCCAUUUUGGACAAAUCAUGGUUUCAAAGAACAAAAAACGCUCAAAUCUCUACCGGAAUUGUGAUUCCGCCAGCUCACGAGGUGGCGGAAUAUAUCCGGUAGUUUGUGACGUAAUUCCGAUACAAAAUUCCACUAGCGAGUGUUCAAGAAUAGGGUUUAGCAAAUUUCUGGUGGAAUCAAGUAAUUCCGCUAGUGGAAUUCUUCCAGCAGCGUCAAGAAAAGGGCCCCAGAGGGAGCACCGGCGGCUGGCGUCAAAAUUCAUAAUCCACUAUAAUCAAAUACUGUAGAGUAUUUGCUAUAAUCCAGAUCAUAACAAUAUGGAGGUGACGAGCGAUGAUGUGGAAGAUCCGGAGACCGUGCUAGUGGAAGAGGAGUUGUCAAGCUACGGGAUUGAAAAGGUGUUCGUUUGCGAGGGGAGCUACAUUGAUGUGACGGCGGAGGAUAAAGUGAACGUGACUGUAGGGAGGCUCUGACAUUGUUUGCAGAGUUGUCGACUAGAGGCUUGUGUGAGCGGGUAGCCGGAUGGGCUGAAAAUAUUAUUGUGGAUAUAGAGAGUGAGGUGGAAGUGUCGUCGGCGAGGAUGCUGAGUAGAAAUAUAUUUCAUGGUAUUAUUAUGGCAAGGAGAGAUUAGAUGUGAAUUUUUUUAAAAUUGUUUUUGUAGAAGAUUAAAUAGAUUUUAUAAAGUAUUAUCUUUUUUAUUUUUAAUAUUUAUUUCAAAUUAAUAUCAUUACUUUUAAAAAUAUACUAUUUUGAUUUGAUAUGAAGUGCAUCUCGUAGCGGCAGUAAUGACUGAGGUGAGUGUUGUAACUGCAUGAUAUACGCUAUAACGAUCAGACAUCAAGUUGAAACAUAAAAUGUUAUGUAUUGGAUAUGGUUUCUCUCAUGAAGAGGGGGGGCACAUCUAAUACUGUAUAAAUGUAAAUCGGAAUAUUUGUAUGUAGUAUGAUUUUAUCGCGCACGAUAAAGGCUGCGUGUGUUUAUCUUUCAUUACAAAGGUAAAUAUGUAGUUUAGCGGUAUUUAUGAAGAAAAAAAAUGUUAAGAAUCCGAAAAUACUUUUAUUAUAUGCUCUUUAACUUCCUCUUUUCAUUAAACCCGGCGGAGAUAAGAAAUUCCAAAUACUUUAGGAGAUAUCGCCGUUCUUAUUUUGCAAUACAAGACCUGUGCAAUCAUUCGACUGCCAUUUUUUUUUAUUUUGCCGUGUGUUCGUGAAUGCCUAAUUAAUUAAAAUGGUCAAUUAGGUCAGGUCAGUUACAUUUUAAACACUUUCAAACUAAGCGGACAUUUAAAAUAAUGUGAAUUAAUUUUAAUGGUUGUUUUUUAAAGUAUUUAUAAUGUAACUGACCUGACCAAACAAACCGGGACAAAGGAUGAACAGUAGGAACUCACGUAAUUUUUUUUUACUUAUUACUUGCGCAACAAUAUCCAAAUAACAAAUAAAACAUUAAAAUUUGAAACGUUAAAAACUCACCUAAGUUAGAGGCGGGUACAAUUCCUUUGCCAUUAGUAGAAAAUGAUGUAGUCGUUCACCUACAUUGCGAAAAAAAAAAAUCAUACACGUAAACAAGAAACAAUGUUGAACACCGCAUGAAUGCACAGGAUUGUGAUGAAAAUUUAAAAAAAAAUCGAUAUCUCCUAAAGUAUUUGGAAUUUCUUAUCUCCGCCGGGUUUAAUGAAAAGAGGAAGUUAAAGAGCAUAGAAUAAAAGUAUUUUCGGAAUUUUUAACUUUUUUUUUAACAAAUAUCGCCCAACUAUGAAAAUUAAAAAAAAUUGAUAUCUCCUAAAGUAUUUGCAAUUUAUUAUCUCCACCGGGUUUAAUGAAAACAGGAAGUUAAAGAGCAUAGAAUAACAGUAUUUUCGGAUCUUUAAAUGUUUUUUUUUUUUUUUUUUCACAAAUACCGCCCAAC